CUGAUAGCCCUGGAAACUGAAAGUUCUCCAUUUAUUCAUGGGAAAGGUACAGCACAGGGAGCAGCAAGGUUCCUCCACACCAACCUAGCAAAGUCCCUCAUCCACAACCUGGAGACCAUCUUUAAUGGUGGGAGGAAAGUUCACCUUCAAUGGCCCUUUCAUUGAUUUAGUCCA
Molecule: small RNA, 174 nt
Filed under: Chrysemys picta bellii (western painted turtle)
Lineage: Eukaryota; Metazoa; Chordata; Testudines; Emydidae
Description: TUC338 (ENSCPBG00000017443.1)
Source: RNAcentral